RNAcentral lists this ribosomal RNA (275 nucleotides) under uncultured prokaryote. RNAcentral describes it as "partial 16S ribosomal RNA". It matches the Rfam family "Bacterial small subunit ribosomal RNA", at positions 524 to 798 of the family's 1533-position model. The record is from RNAcentral.
UACGGAGGUUCCAAGCGUUGUUCGGAAUUACUGGGCGUAAAGGGAGCGCAGGCGGGCAAGUCAGUCUGAAGUGAAAUCCCGGGGCUCAACCUCGGACUUGCUUCGGAUACUGCUUGUCUUGAGUUCGUGAUAGGAAGACGGAAUUCAGGGUGUAGCGGUGAAAUGCACAGAUAUCCUGAGGAACACCGGUGGCGAAAGCGGUCUUCUGGCGCGAAACUGACGCUGAGGCUCGAAAGCGUGGGUAGCGAACGGGAUUAGAUACCCCCGUAGUCCCU